RNAcentral lists this long non-coding RNA (512 nucleotides) under Nicotiana benthamiana. RNAcentral's name for it is "long non-coding RNA (NBEN_LNC040974)". The record is from RNAcentral. Lineage: Eukaryota; Viridiplantae; Streptophyta; Magnoliopsida; Solanales; Solanaceae.
UGGAGAGUAAGAUAUAACUAUUCCAUGAUUCUACUCACUCUAUACCUUUCGGUAGUUCGAGUGAUUUUGCCCGAAUUGUCUUUCUCAAGACCAAUUGGGUAUGAUAAUUUGUGCAACCAAUUGAGCUUUAAGUCGGAUAUUAUUAUCUCAAGUUUUAACCUUAUAAUUGGAGCUAUCAAUCUCUUGAAUAUUUCCCAAUUCCUUGUUGGACAAAUUUCAUAGACUUAGGCUCUUUUCUCAAGAAGAACUGAAGCCAACUAGGCAUAAACUAGUAUUUGCAACUACUAAUUCAUCAUUUAAAUCCUAAAGUAGUCAAAAUAUCAAACACCCAUAGAAUCAAGCUUCAAAACACAAGACCCGUCAAUUAUCCACAUUAGGAUUCAGCCACAAUCCUAGUUAAUGGGUCUAGAUACUCAUGAUUAUAGAAGAAAAUAAAGAAAUAGAUAAAGAAAAGCACAUAAUAAUUAAUUAAUAGAUAAACUUGAAGAUUCAAUAAUGAAAUUAAACUAAAA